RNAcentral lists this ribosomal RNA (396 nucleotides) under Cercozoa sp. Its description in RNAcentral is "partial small subunit ribosomal RNA". It matches the Rfam family "Eukaryotic small subunit ribosomal RNA", at positions 582 to 975 of the family's 1831-position model. The record is from RNAcentral. Lineage: Eukaryota; Cercozoa.
AUUCCAGCUCCAGUAGCGUAUAUUAAAGUUGUUGCAGUUAAAAAGCUCGUAGUUGGAUUUCUGACUUCAGAUACCUGACCCUCCCUCGCUAGAGGUGUGUGUGCCGGAGUAUUUGUAUCAUCCUUUCAGUGAUCGGCUCUACCCUUAACCGGGUCGGAGCUGCUAGCUGGAUCUUUUACUUUGAAGAAAUUGGAGUGUUUAAAGCAGGCUUACGCCAGAACAUAUUAGCAUGGAAUAAUAAUUUAGGACUUUUGUUCUAUUUUGUUGGUUUCUAGGACGAAAGUAAUGAUUGAUAGGGAUAGUUGGGGGUGCUAGUAUUCGGCGGCCAGAGGUGAAAUUCUUUGACCCGCUGAAGACUAACUUAUGCGAAAGCAUUCACCAAGGAUGUCUUCAUUG